AUUGAGGUCUACCCCCAUAGCUUCCCCAGGAACCACACGUCACUAGAAAUACCUCAUACUGUACCCGUGGUUUUGCUUGACUCAUGGGAAUGAGCCAGUGUUUCCUAGGUUUGUGGGAAGGAACUGCAAGUCAGUU
This 136-nucleotide small nucleolar RNA is filed under the name Mesocricetus auratus (golden hamster). The record is from RNAcentral. Lineage: Eukaryota; Metazoa; Chordata; Mammalia; Rodentia; Cricetidae.